This 228-nucleotide ribosomal RNA is filed under the name uncultured bacterium. RNAcentral describes it as "partial 16S ribosomal RNA". It matches the Rfam family "Bacterial small subunit ribosomal RNA", at positions 524 to 750 of the family's 1533-position model. The record is from RNAcentral.
UACGUAGGGUGCAAGCGUUAUCCGGAAUUAUUGGGCGUAAAGAGCUUGUAGGUGGUUUGUCGCGUCUGCUGUGAAAAUCCGAGGCUCAACCUCGGACUUGCAGUGGGUACGGGCAGACUAGAGUGUGGUAGGGGAGACUGGAAUUCCUGGUGUAGCGGUGGAAAUGCGCAGAUAUCAGGAGGAACACCGAUGGCGAAGGCAGGUCUCUGGGCCACUACUGACACUGAG